Molecule: ribosomal RNA, 287 nt
Filed under: uncultured bacterium
Lineage: Bacteria
Description: partial 16S ribosomal RNA
Rfam family: Bacterial small subunit ribosomal RNA
Source: RNAcentral
UGGGGAAUAUUGCACAAUGGGCGCAAGCCUGAUGCAGCCAUGCCGCGUGUGUGAAGAAGGCCUUCGGGUUGUAAAGCACUUUCAGCGAGGAGGAAGGGUAGUGUGUUAAUAGCACAUUGCAUUGACGUUACUCGCAGAAGAAGCACCGGCUAACUCCGUGCCAGCAGCCGCGGUAAUACGGAGGGUGCAAGCGUUAAUCGGAAUUACUGGGCGUAAAGCGCACGCAGGCGGUUUGUUAAGUCAGAUGUGAAAUCCCCGCGCUUAACGUGGGAACUGCAUUUGAAACU